CCUACGAGUGACAGCAGUGGGGAAUAUUGGGCAAUGGGCGCAAGCCUGACCCAGCAACGCCGCGUGAAGGAAGAAGGCUUUCGGGUGGGAAACUUCUUUUGUCAGGGAAGAGUAGAAGACGGUACCUGACGAAUAAGCCACGGCUAACUACGUGCCAGCAGCCGCGGUCAUACGUAGGUGGCAAGCGUUGUCCGGAUUUACUGGGUGGAACGGGCGUGUAGCCGGGUUGACAAGUCAGAUGUGAAAUCCUGCGGCUUAACCGCAGAACUGCAUUUGAAACUGUUGAUCUUGAGUACUGGAGAGGCAGCUGGAAUGCCUAGUGUAGCGGUGAAAUGCGUAGAUAUUAGGAGGAACACCAGUGGCGAAGGCGGUCUGCUGGACAGCAACUGACGGUGAGGCGCGAAAGCGUGGGGAGCAAACAGGAUUAGAUACCCGUGUAGUC
This 442-nucleotide ribosomal RNA is filed under the name uncultured bacterium. RNAcentral's name for it is "partial 16S ribosomal RNA". It matches the Rfam family "Bacterial small subunit ribosomal RNA", at positions 338 to 795 of the family's 1533-position model. The record is from RNAcentral.